RNAcentral lists this transfer RNA (75 nucleotides) under Phenylobacterium sp. Its description in RNAcentral is "tRNA-Lys". It matches the Rfam family "tRNA". Rfam says of the family: Transfer RNA (tRNA) molecules are approximately 80 nucleotides in length. Their secondary structure includes four short double-helical elements and three loops (D, anti-codon, and T loops). Further hydrogen bonds mediate the characteristic L-shaped molecular structure. tRNAs have two regions of fundamental functional importance: the anti-codon, which is responsible for specific mRNA codon recognition, and the 3' end, to which the tRNAs corresponding amino acid is attached (by aminoacyl-tRNA synthetases). tRNAs cope with the degeneracy of the genetic code in two manners: having more than one tRNA (with a specific anti-codon) for a particular amino acid; and 'wobble' base-pairing, i.e. permitting non-standard base-pairing at the 3rd anti-codon position. RNAcentral also lists the same sequence under 4 other names. The record is from RNAcentral. Lineage: Bacteria; Pseudomonadati; Pseudomonadota; Alphaproteobacteria; Caulobacterales; Caulobacteraceae.
GGGCCGGUAGCUCAGCGGUAGAGCAUUCGACUUUUAAUCGAAUGGUCGAGGGUUCGAUCCCCUCCCGGCCUACCA